GAAGAAAGUGCUUUCCUAGAAGAACCAUGCUCACUUAGCACAGUAGCAGCACCAACACUCAAUUCUUUGAUUUUCUUUCUAAUUUCAAAGCUUUCAUCUCCUUUCAUGAUUCUUUUUAUAGCUUUGGCAACUUCCUCUUGUUUUAUAAUCCCAGUUUCAUCAUCAACCUUUGGCCUCACUGCCACUUUGAGUACAUCAGUGAGUAAUUUUGCAUUCAUCCUUUGCUCUGCAAACAAUGGCCAUGCAAUCAACGGCACGCCGUUAACCACACUCUCCAAAGUUGAACUCCAACCACAAUGACUUAAAAACCCACCAAUUGAUCCAUGACCAAGAAUCUCAACUUGUGGUGCCCAUGAUGCAACUACUAGUCCAUUUUCUUUUGUUCUUUCCAAAAAACCAUUUGGUAAAUACUCUAAUGGAUCAUUGUUUUGUCCACUAAAAUAGGCAGAACUAGAAUUUUUACUUGGAGCUCUCACAACCCACAAGAAUUUGUGACCACUCAAUUCUAGACCAAAAGCUAACUCGUUGAGUUGAUCUUGAGAGAGUGUUCCACCACUUCCAAAAGAGACAAAAAGAACAGAACUUGGUUGUUGAUUUUCCAACCACCUUAAACACAUUGACAUGUUUGCUUCAUUAUUUGACUCAUUCCUAAUCAUAGGUCCAACCGGAUAAACACUAGGUUUCUCUCUAUCUUGAAGAACCCUUAUGACUUCCGGUUCCAAAUCAGUGAAAGUAUUCAUAAUAACACCAUCAAACAAUGAUAAUUUUUGACACACAUCAAGAAUUGAUUUGUAGGCAUCACUUGAUCUUUCACAGAUAAACGGGUCGGGAAGCUCUUUGAUAUGGAGAGGAAUAGAAAAACCAGGAAUAUUUACUGUUUCAUAACUUGAUCCUAAGAACUGAGUUGAUGCAGCUUCAUCAAGGUUUGGAAUAGUGAGAAAUAAAGAGAAUAAAACAGCUCCUGAGGAAAAGAAAAGGUAUGAUAAAAGGUUGAAAUGUUUCGCAACAUCAUGUGCAUCGGUUGAAAACAUGCUGAAAACUAAAGCAACUAGGCGAGUUUUUGAAAGGAGUGAUUUUACUUCUUCAUAAAGAAAUGGAAUAGAGUGUUUCACUAUGAGUUUCAUCUGUGUUGCAGGAUCAAGAUUAUGUGGAAGGUCUUCAAUGUUGACUUGGGGAAGAACAAUGAAGUUCAUGUUUGGUGGAAGAGUGUUCAAGAUGGAUUGCAUGGAAGGAGUUAGUGGACCAAGUGUGGGAAUGAGGAAUGUGAUAUGGUAUUCAUUGUGAUUUUGGAGUAAUAGUUUAGCAAACUCAACUAGUGGAAUCAAAUGGCUCAAUCCAGGUGAAGGAACCAUAGCAAUGCAUGUCUUUUUCUCCAUGCAUGUAAUUGAAUUUGACAUGGAUGAUGAAAAACAAAGUAUUUUUGUAAGAUGGAUAUCUCCUAA
RNAcentral lists this long non-coding RNA (1442 nucleotides) under Medicago truncatula (barrel medic). RNAcentral's name for it is "lncRNA gene34915". The record is from RNAcentral. Lineage: Eukaryota; Viridiplantae; Streptophyta; Magnoliopsida; Fabales; Fabaceae.